UCAGACGAUGCGUCAUGCAUAUCAAUAAGCGGAGGAAAAGAAACUAACAAGGAUUCCCUCAGUAACGGCGAGUGAAGCGGGAAGAGCUCAAAUUUGAAAUCUUGAAAGGUCACCUUUCACGAAUUGUAGUUUAAAGAAGUGUUUUCUGUUACGAUCGUAAUAUAAGUUCUUUGGAAUAGGACAUCACAGAGGGUGAGAAUCCCGUCUAUGAUUGCGAUUUGUAGCUUUGUGAUACACUUUCAAAGAGUCGGGUUGUUUGGGAAUGCAGCCCAAAACGGGAGGUAAAUUUCUUCUAAGGCUAAAUAUUGGCGAGAGACCGAUAGCGAACAAGUACCGUGAGGGAAAGAUGAAAAGAACUUUGAAAAGAGAGUUAAACAGUACGUGAAAUUGUCAAAAGGGAAGCGUUUUACACCAGUGUUGUUUUCUGAAAAUCAACCUCUGUUAGCUUUAUGCAUGUUUGUUUAGACCUAAUCAGCUAUCUUGCAUGUUCUAUUGUUUGCAGUGGUGCACUUUUCAGUUUACAGGUCAACAUCAGUUUUUUUUACCGUAAAAAAGUUAAAGAAAGGUAGCUCAUGGCUCCGGUCGUGAGUGUUAUAGUCUUUUUCCUAUGCGGUAGGAGAGACUGAGGUCUGCAGUGUAGGCUAUUUGGCUAGAUACUCAGGUGCUAUGUGAUACCAUUUCAUAAACAACUUGUUGAUUAUGUUUUGUCUAUUGCAUACUCGCUUGUACUAUCAUACCUACGCUUAGGAUGUUGAAGACUCUACAGAGAUA
Molecule: ribosomal RNA, 771 nt
Filed under: uncultured Neocallimastigales
Lineage: Eukaryota; Fungi; Neocallimastigomycota; Neocallimastigomycetes; Neocallimastigales
Description: partial large subunit ribosomal RNA
Rfam family: Eukaryotic large subunit ribosomal RNA
Source: RNAcentral